Molecule: ribosomal RNA, 478 nt
Filed under: uncultured bacterium
Lineage: Bacteria
Description: partial 16S ribosomal RNA
Rfam family: Bacterial small subunit ribosomal RNA
Source: RNAcentral
GACGAACGCUGGCGGCGUGCUUAACACAUGCAAGUCGAACGGUAAGGCCCUUCGGGGUACACGAGUGGCGAACGGGUGAGUAACACGUGGGUGAUCUGCCCUGCACUUCGGGAUAAGCCUGGGAAACUGGGUCUAAUACCGGAUAGGACUCCGGACUGCAUGGUCGGGGGUGGAAAGCUUUUGCGGUGUGGGAUGGGCCCGCGGCCGAUCAGCUUGUUGGUGGGGGGAUGGACUACCAAGGCGACGACGGGUAGCCGGCCUGAGAGGGUGACCGGCCACACUGGGACUGAGAUACGGCCCAGACUCCUACGGGAGGCAGCAGUGGGGAAUAUUGCACAAUGGGCGCAAGCCUGAUGCAGCGACGCCGCGUGAGGGAUGACGGCCUUCGGGUUGUAAACCUCUUUCAGCAUCGACGAAGCGAAAGUGACGGUAGGUGCAGAAGAAGGACCGGCCAACUACGUGCCAGCCGCCGCCGUAA